GUGGGCUCUGUGCAGACAGCAUGCCAGCAGUGCUGAGAAGAGCCCAGAACUCUUCUUCUGAAAACACCUGACCCCAGAAGAUGCCUAAACAUCUAUCAAACAAUUGAACAUUUUUGAGUUCAUGGCAAAAAAGAAAAAGCCAAAUAUUAAAGACCAAGAAGGCAGCAGCUUGAGAACCAUUGCAGAAGCUGGAACUGAUGAAGGCCCCAGAGCAUGCUCACCUGGAUUGCAAGUGGAAACUGAGGAAACUAAGGUGUCUGCCACUGGUUCAUCUAAUCCAAGCCCUGCUAAAGAACCAUGGAACAGCAGCAAAGCCAAGAAGCAGUGUCAUUGUUAAACCUUGAACUUGAUAUGAACAAUACUGUUUCUGAUAUCCAAGUGAAAGCUCAAUUAGUGCAAAACCCACAGACUCCAUUGCCAGGAUAUGUAUUUCUUGUGGAUAAGAAGAGACAUCUAAGUUUUCAAAUAAAAUGGUUCAAGACA
Long non-coding RNA from Anolis carolinensis (green anole), 483 nucleotides. RefSeq lists it as uncharacterized. The record is from RefSeq and is a predicted model, not a curated record. Lineage: Eukaryota; Metazoa; Chordata; Lepidosauria; Squamata; Anolidae. The transcript has 2 exons.